GACAAACGCUGGCGGCGUGCUUAACACAUGCAAGUCGAACGGACAGGCCCUGCUUUUGUGGGGUGCUCGAGUGGCGAACGGGUGAGUAACACGUGAGUAACCUGCCCUUGACUUUGGGAUAACUUCAGGAAACUGGGGCUAAUACCGGAUAGGAGCUCCUGCUGCAUGGUGGGGGUUGGAAAGUUUCGGCGGUUGGGGAUGGACUCGCGGCUUAUCAGCUUGUUGGUGGGGUAGUGGCUUACCAAGGCUUUGACGGGUAGCCGGCCUGAGAGGGUGACCGGCCACAUUGGGACUGAGAUACGGCCCAGACUCCUACGGGAGGCAGCAGUGGGGAAUAUUGCACAAUGGGCGGAAGCCUGAUGCAGCAACGCCGCGUGCGGGAUGACGGCCUUCGGGUUGUAAACCGCUUUCGCCUGUGACGAAGCGUGAGUGACGGUAAUGGGUAAAGAAGCACCGGCUAACUACGUG
This 468-nucleotide ribosomal RNA is filed under the name uncultured bacterium. RNAcentral's name for it is "partial 16S ribosomal RNA". It matches the Rfam family "Bacterial small subunit ribosomal RNA", at positions 28 to 507 of the family's 1533-position model. The record is from RNAcentral.